CGAAAGCCUGACGGAGCAACGCCGCGUGUGGGAAGAAGGCUCUUGGGUUGUAAACCCCUUUUCUCAGGGAAGAAACCUGACGGUACCUGAGGAAAAAGCCUCGGCUAACUCCGUGCCAGCAGCCGCGGUAAUACGGAGGAGGCAAGCGUUAUCCGGAAUUACUGGGCGUAAAGCGUUCGUAGGGGGCUCGUCAAGUCUGCUGUCAAAGGUCGGAGCUCAACUCCGGUUCGGCAGUGGAAACUGGUGAGCUAGAGGGCGACAGGGGUAGAGGGAAUUCCCAGUGUAGCGGUGAAAUGCGUAGAGAUUGGGAAGAACACCGGUGGCGAAAGCGCUCUACUGGGUCGCACCUGACCCUCAGGGACGAAAGCUAAGGUAGCG
Molecule: ribosomal RNA, 378 nt
Filed under: uncultured cyanobacterium
Lineage: Bacteria; Bacillati; Cyanobacteriota
Description: bacterial SSU rRNA
Rfam family: Bacterial small subunit ribosomal RNA
Source: RNAcentral